UGCCAGCAGCCGCGGUAAUACGGAGGGGGUUAGCGUUGUUCGGAAUUACUGGGCGUAAAGCGCACGUAGGCGGACUUUUAAGUCAGAUGUGAAAUCCCAAGGCUCAACCUUGGAACUGCAUUUGAAACUGGGAGUCUAGAGAUCAGGAGAGGUUAGUGGAAUUUCUGGUGUAGCGGUGAAAUGCGUAGAUAUCAGAAGGAACAUCAAGGCGAAGGCAGCUUUCUGGACCAAUACUGACGCUGAGGUACGAAAGCGUGGGUAGCAAACAGGAUUAGAUA
Molecule: ribosomal RNA, 278 nt
Filed under: uncultured bacterium
Lineage: Bacteria
Description: partial 16S ribosomal RNA
Rfam family: Bacterial small subunit ribosomal RNA
Source: RNAcentral